This 1517-nucleotide ribosomal RNA is filed under the name metagenome. RNAcentral's name for it is "bacterial SSU rRNA". It matches the Rfam family "Bacterial small subunit ribosomal RNA". The record is from RNAcentral.
AGAGUUUGAUCCUGGCUCAGGACGAACGCUGGCGGCGUGCUUAACACAUGCAAGUCGAACGAGAGGACAAGAGGAGCUUGCUUCUUUUGGAAUCGAGUGGCAAACGGGUGAGUAACACGUAAACAACCUGCCUUCAGGAUGGGGACAACAGACGGAAACGACUGCUAAUACCGAAUACGCUUGGAAGACCGCAUGAUCUUCCAAGGAAAGGGUGGCCUCUACCUGUAAGCUAUCGCCUGAAGAGGGGUUUGCGUCUGAUUAGGCAGUUGGUGAGGUAACGGCCCACCAAACCUACGAUCAGUAGCCGGUCUGAGAGGAUGAACGGCCACACUGGAACUGAGACACGGUCCAGACUCCUACGGGAGGCAGCAGUGGGGAAUCUUCCGCAAUGGGCGAAAGCCUGACGGAGCAACGCCGCGUGGGUGAUGACGGCCUUCGGGUUGUAAAGCUCUGUGAUCGGGGACGAACGGUCCGUAAGCCAAUACCUUAUGGAAGUGACGGUACCCGAAUAGCAAGCCACGGCUAACUACGUGCCAGCAGCCGCGGUAAUACGUAGGUGGCAAGCGUUGUCCGGAAUUAUUGGGCGUAAAGCGCGCGCAGGCGGCUUUCUAAGUCCAUCUUAAAAGUGCGGGGCUUAACCCCGUGAUGGGAUGGAAACUGGAAAGCUCGAGUGAAGUAGAGGUAAGCGGAAUUCCUGGUGUAGCGGUGAAAUGCGUAGAUAUCAGGAGGAACACCGGUGGCGAAGGCGGCUUACUGGGCUUUUACUGACGCUGAGGCUCGAAAGCGUGGGGAGCAAACAGGAUUAGAUACCCUGGUAGUCCACGCUGUAAACGAUGAUUACUAGGUGUGGGGGGACUGACCCCUUCCGUGCCGCAGUUAACACAAUAAGUAAUCCACCUGGGGAGUACGGCCGCAAGGUUGAAACUCAAAGGAAUUGACGGGGGCCCGCACAAGCAGUGGAGUAUGUGGUUUAAUUCGAAGCAACGCGAAGAACCUUACCAGGUCUUGACAUCGAGUGCAUAACUAAGAGAUUAGUGAAAUCCCUUCGGGGACACUUAGACAGGUGGUGCAUGGUUGUCGUCAGCUCGUGUAGUGAGAUGUUGGGUUAAGUCCCGCAACGAGCGCAACCCUUACCUUUAGUUGCUACGCAAGAGCACUCUAAAGGGACUGCCGUUGACAAAACGGAGGAAGGUGGGGAUGACGUCAAAUCAUCAUGCCCCUUAUGACCUGGGCUACACACGUACUACAAUGGCAAUCAACAAAGAGAAGCAAGACAGUGAUGUGGAGCAAAUCUCAAAAAAUUGUCCCAGUUCAGAUUGUAGGCUGCAACUCGCCUACAUGAAGUCGGAAUUGCUAGUAAUCGCGGAUCAGAAUGCCGCGGUGAAUACGUUCCCGGGCCUUGUACACACCGCCCGUCACACCAUGGGAGUCGGUAACACCCGAAGUCGGUAGUCUAACAGCAAUGAGGACGCCGCCGAAGGUGGGAUUGAUGACUGGGGUGAAGUCGUAACAAGGUA